RNAcentral lists this ribosomal RNA (390 nucleotides) under uncultured Methanosaeta sp. RNAcentral's name for it is "bacterial SSU rRNA". It matches the Rfam family "Archaeal small subunit ribosomal RNA", at positions 950 to 1338 of the family's 1478-position model. The record is from RNAcentral. Lineage: Archaea; Methanobacteriati; Methanobacteriota; Methanomicrobia; Methanotrichales; Methanotrichaceae.
AAGGUCAGGCUGAAGACCCUUACCCGAUUAGCUGAGAGGUGGUGCAUGGCCGUCGUCAGUUCGUACUGUGAAGCAUCCUGUUAAGUCAGGCAACGAGCGAGACCCACGUCCACAGUUGCCAGCAUACCCUCCGGGGUGAUGGGUACACUGUGGAGACCGCCGCUGCUAAAGCGGAGGAAGGAGUGGGCAACGGUAGGUCAGUAUGCCCCGAAUCUCCCGGGCUACACGCGGGCUACAAUGGUUGGUACAAUGGGCAUCUACCCCGAAAGGGGAAGGAAAUCUCUUAAAGCCAAUCGUAGUUCGGAUUGAGGGCUGCAACUCGCCCUCAUGAAGCUGGAAUCCGUAGUAAUCGCGUUUCAACAGAACGCGGUGAAUACGUCCCUGCUCCUU